RNAcentral lists this ribosomal RNA (1978 nucleotides) under human metagenome. Its description in RNAcentral is "bacterial LSU rRNA". It matches the Rfam family "Bacterial large subunit ribosomal RNA", at positions 1 to 1979 of the family's 2925-position model. The record is from RNAcentral.
UAAAAUAAUUAAGGGCACACAAAGGAUGCCUAGGUAGUAAGAGCCGAUGAAGGACGUGGUAAGCUGCGAUAAGCCUAGAUAAGUUGCAAUCGAACGUAAGAGUCUAGGAUUUCCGAAUGGAGCAAUCUAUUAAGAUGGAGUCUUAAUACGAAAGAGGGAACCGCGUGAACUGAAACAUCUAAGUAACGCGAGGAAAAGAAAGUAAAAACGAUACCCAAAGUAGCGGCGAGCGAAAUGGGUCAAGCCUAAACCUUAAAUAUGUCAAGGAUACAGCCGUUGUAUUUAAGGGGUUGAGGGACAGAGUGAUGAAGAACUGUAAGAUAUUCAAUAUAGUGUAUUGAUGAAUUAGAAUAGUCUGGAAAGGCUAACCGUAGAAGGUGAAAGUCCUGUAUAAGUAAAUCCUUACACAUAUAACUUUGCUCCCAAGUAACAUGGAACACGAGGAAUUCUGUGUGAAUCUGUGAGGACCAUAUCUCAUAAGGCUAAAUACUCUUACUAACCGAUAGCGCAUAGUACCGUGAGGGAAAGGUGAAAAGAACCCCUGGAGGGGAGUGAAAUAGAACCUGAAAUUGUGUGCUUACAAGCGGUCAGAGCCCAUUUGGGUGAUGGCGUGCCUUUUGGAGAAUGAUCCUGCGAGUUACGUUAAACGGCGAGGUUAAGUAUAACGGAGCCGAAGGGAAACCAAGUCUUAAUAGGGCGAUUUAGUCGUUUGGCGUAGACGCGAAACCUGGUGAUCUAAACCUGUCCAGGAUGAAGCUGUGGUAAGACACAGUGGAGGUCCUAACCCACCGCCGUUGAAAAGUUGGGGGAUGAGGUAGGUUUAGGGGUGAAAAGCCAAUCGAACCAGGAGAUAGCUCGUUCUCUCCGAAAUGCAUCUAGGUGCAGCCUUGAGUGUUCAAUUAUGGGGGUAGAGCACUGAAUGAUCUAGGGGGCAUAUUGCUUACUGAAAUCAAUCAAACUCCGAAUACCAUAAUUUAUAGCUCAGGAGUGAGACUAUGGGAGUUAACUUCCAUUGUCAAAAGGGAAACAACCCAGACCACCAGCUAAGGUCCCUAAUUAUAACUAAGUGGGAAAGGAGGUGGAGAUUCACAAACAACUAGGAGGUUGGCUUAGAAGCAGCCAUACCUUUAAAGAGUGCGUAAUAGCUCACUAGUCGAGAGUCUCUGCGCCGACAAUGUAACGGGGCUAAGUUAUAAACCGAAGCUGUGGAAUCCGUAAGGAUUGGUAGGAGAGCGUUCUGUAGGCCGUUGAAGGAGAAGGGUAACCGACUUUGGAGGUAUCAGAAGUGAGAAUGCAGGAAUAAGUAGCGAGAAAGGGGGCGAGAAUCCCCCUCGCCGGAAGACCAAGGUUUUCAGGGUAAAGCUUGUCUUCCCUGAGUAAGCCGGGACCUAAGCCCAGGCUAUAAUGCGUAGGCGAAUGGAAAACAGAUUAAUAUUUCUGUGCCAGUCAUGUAUUGUGAUGGAGGGACGCAGAAGGGUAUGCGCGCGGACGAACGGAAGUGUCCGUAGAAGUAUGUAGGGUGACUUAGUAGGAAAAUCCAUUAAGUUAGAUCUGAGGUAUGAUAUACAGUCGUAAGAUGAAUGCGCAAAUCCCACGCUGCCAAGAAAAGCUUCUAACGUUAAUAUAUGACUGCCCGUACUGUAAACCGACACAGGUGGUCAGGAUGAGAAAUCUAAGGCGGACAGGCUAACUCUCGUUAAGGAACUCUGCAAAAUAACCUCGUAACUUCGGGAGAAGAGGAGCCCUUGGGUGUUAGUAUCCACGCGAUACAAAGCGCUCGAGGGUCGCAGUGAAGAGGCUCAAGCAACUGUUUAACAAAAACACAGGUCUAUGCUAAGCUGUAAGGCGAUGUAUAUGGGCUGACACCUGCCCAGUGCUGGAAGGUUAAGAGGAGGAGUGAGAGCUCCGAAUUGAAGCCCCAGUGAACGGCGGCCGUAACUAUAACGGUCCUAAGGUAGCGAAAUUCCUUGUCGGGUAA